RNAcentral lists this long non-coding RNA (1053 nucleotides) under Betta splendens (Siamese fighting fish). RNAcentral describes it as "lncRNA (ENSBSLG00000017590.1)". The record is from RNAcentral. Lineage: Eukaryota; Metazoa; Chordata; Actinopteri; Anabantiformes; Osphronemidae.
AUGACACACGAACAACCAAUCGUACCAAUCCUCAAUACUAAAACCUUAUUGAUUUCCCCCACCACCCCUACUCCCCCCUUCUCCCCCGCCGUCUUUCGAACCCUCCUCAUCAUUAAAAAACAACAGGAAAAUGAGAGAGAGAGAAAGAAGAAAGAAGAAGAAGAGGGAAGGGAACAAAGGAAAAAGGAAGAAAAAGAUCGAAUGGAAAGACAGAAAACACUGACAGUUAAACACAUGGAGAGGAUGUCAAAGAAACUAAACCUACACACCCUCAUCCCUAAACCCAGCAACACUUCCACCUUCCGAACCCCCCCUACUUCUUCCUACCACAUCCUCCCUUCUCCUCCCUUCUCCAAACCCCUUAUUCAUACCCUUCCUAACAUCAAGGAAGAGGAGGAAGAGGAAAUCAAGGAGAAGACAAUGAUUAAGCAAAUGGAAAGGAUGUCAAGGAAACAAUCCUUUUUACCCACCAUCAUUCCAAAACCCACAUCCAUUGCCAGCUUCCCCACCCCCCCUACUUCUUUCUACCCCAUCCUCCCAACUCCUCCCUUCUCCAAACCCCUUAUUCAUACCCUUCCUAACAUCAAGGAAGAGGAAAUCAGGAAGAAGACAAUGAUCAAGCAAAUGGAAAAGAUGUCAAGGAAACAAUCCUUUUUACCCACCAUCAUUCCAAAACCCACAUCCAUUGCCAGCUUCCCCACCCCCCCUACUUCUUCCUACCCCAUCCUCCCUACUCCUCCCUUCUCCAAACCCAUCAUUCAUACCGUCCCUAACAUUAAGAAAAAGAAGGAGGAAAUGAAAAAGAAGGCAAUAAUGACCCAAGUAGAAAAGGUGUCAAGGAAACAAUCCUUCUUCCCCUCCAUCACUUCAAAACCCACCCCCAAUCCCACCUUCUCCCUCCCCUCUACUUCUCCCUUAUCCCUUGGCUCUACUCCUCCCGUCUCCAAACCUCUUGUUUAUAGCCUCCCCACCCCUCCCAGUCACACCCUCUCUCGCAAGAAUCGCAGGUUCCACCAUCACCUCCACCCACAACCGCCACUCCCCCCCCACUAG